GGGCCUAUAGCCUAGUCUGGAUAAGGCGACAGCCUUCUAAGCUGUAGAUCGAGGGUUCGAAUUUAAAAAAAAAACGAAAGUCCCUCUAGGCCCG
This 94-nucleotide transfer RNA is filed under the name Microcaldota archaeon. RNAcentral describes it as "Candidatus Micrarchaeota archaeon (hot springs metagenome) tRNA-Arg". It matches the Rfam family "tRNA". From Rfam's summary of the family: Transfer RNA (tRNA) molecules are approximately 80 nucleotides in length. Their secondary structure includes four short double-helical elements and three loops (D, anti-codon, and T loops). Lineage: Archaea; Nanobdellati; Microcaldota. The record is from RNAcentral.